Long non-coding RNA from Solanum lycopersicum (tomato), 941 nucleotides. RefSeq lists it as uncharacterized. Lineage: Eukaryota; Viridiplantae; Streptophyta; Magnoliopsida; Solanales; Solanaceae. The record is from RefSeq and is a predicted model, not a curated record.
UAAAUUUUUUUUUUAAAAAAAAAUAAAAGACGCUUGUUUCUAAGAAUAGAGUCUUGAGUAAGAAAACCCUAGUAGCAUCUGUUUGGCAGCAAUCUCAGCAUAGUUCAGAGCUCUCAGCAUUUAAUCUGUGUAUUCUCAAAACAAAGAAAGCACAUGUGUAACUAGAAACGAUCUCAACUAUAUCUCUAUUUUCUACGUUACUCGAAUAUGUUGCUUAAAUAUCAGUGACAUCAAUAUGAUGCGUCUUACGAAAGUACUAGGAAGUCUGCAUGAUACUGCUUAUAAGAAAUUGACAUAGUCAUGCAUACCUCAAUUUGCUUAUGAGCAACAGCCAAAUGCAGAAUGUUGUGUCGAUCACCAUCCUUUGCAUUCAAGAACACGUGGUCCCAUCCAAUCGCCAUUAGCACCUUCAGAACCUCCAGCUGAUUAUGCUUCACACACAAAUGCAAAAUGUUUUCUCCAUUGAUCAUCGUUCCUAGAGCUGCAUGAGGCCUGACAUGUAUCAGUUCUUUGAUGACUUCAACGCGGCCUUUGAUGGCUGCAAGAUGGAGAGGAUUUCCACCAUCGCAAUCACGAGCCAGACACAGUUCAGCAUUUACCAACAACAACAUAUGUAUGAUAUGCAGGUGACUUUUGUGAAUCCUAUUCAGAAGCAAGUUGAGGAUUUUGAACCAGAAUUAACCUCACAAAGUCAAUAUGCCCACACAGUUCUGCUAUGUGAAAAGGUGUUUCAUUGAAGCUAGUUAAGGUAAGUCUAUCAAGAAUUAAAGUAUCUUCUUCAAGUAAUUCUUGUAAAACUCUAACAUCUCCUUUAACUGAAGCUUCAUACAGUCUUCUGCAGAUCCAUUUUCCUCUAGUAGAUACUUUAUUACAAAUUGAAUUGGAUAAUUUUAUAGUUGCUGAUAUUUCUUUACUUAUUGGAUUGAGCCAUCCUUGGAAAA